CAGUAGCCGCGGUAAAACGGAGGGUGCAAGCGUUAAUCGGAAUUACUGGGCGUAAAGCGUGCGUAGGCGGUUCGUUAAGUCUGUUGUGAAAGCCCCGGGCUCAACCUGGGAAUGGCAAUGGAUACUGGCGAGCUAGAGUGUGUCAGAGGAUGGUGGAAUUCCCGGUGUAGCGGUGAAAUGCGUAGAGAUCGGGAGGAACAUCAGUGGCGAAGGCGGCCAUCUGGGACAACACUGACGCUGAGGCACGAAAGCGUGGGGAGCAAACAGGAUUAGAUACCCGAGUAGUCCCUGUCUCUUAUAC
This 301-nucleotide ribosomal RNA is filed under the name uncultured bacterium. Its description in RNAcentral is "partial 16S ribosomal RNA". It matches the Rfam family "Bacterial small subunit ribosomal RNA", at positions 509 to 807 of the family's 1533-position model. The record is from RNAcentral.